AACGAACACAUGAACAUAAGUUGUAUGAAAUUUGCUGUAUAUCCAAAUACCAGAUCUGCAUGUAUGUCCCAUUGUAAUGAAUAUCAACGUUGUUUAAAUCAAUGUUGAAGGUUUUUUGUUGUAAAUGGCCCAGGUGAGUAUUGGGGUUUCUCGAUGACAUCCAACUCUGCAGAGAUGUCAGCAAAACUGUUGCCCGUUGGAACAAAUGUCCACGAUCGAACCAAUACGCGUGACAUAUCGGCAUUAAUUUUCCACGCUAUUGUCACAUUUUCUUCUGGGAGAACAACAAAGGUAUCACCACGAUCGA
Paramuricea clavata is the source of this 307-nucleotide non-coding RNA. NCBI's taxonomy places the organism in Eukaryota, Metazoa, Cnidaria, Anthozoa, Malacalcyonacea, Plexauridae. The record is from the annotation of a GenBank genome assembly.